GUUGCUGCUGUUGGUGUGGAGGCGGUGGCGGGAUCGGAGGCUUAGGGCCGCUCUGGCCCGGGCCAGGACCCAUGGGGCCGCGAUUCUGAUUGAGGCCCAUGCCGGGCGGCGGAGAACGGAAGUCGUGGAGGCCGCCGCGGCCGCCGCCUCCUCCACGCCUGUGGAAGCCACCACCGCCACCGCCACGACUCCGGAACCGAUCCCGAGACAUGUCUGUGGUCAAGGGGCGGUCGAGGCAAAAGCGAAGAAGACGCUCAGGAAACGUGGAGGCCACCUUGCUUCUCACAAAAUGGCGGAUGACACAGGCGGCGCGCCGCCUUUGUCCUCGUCUUAUAUAGGCCAGCUGGCACGGCCCCGCCUACUCCACGAUCGACAGCUCCAAUAGCCAAUUGCAAUUACUAUGCUUGAUGACACUAAGUUGCGAACCUCUGAUCAUUCCUAUUGGCCCCUGGGUGAGAGGCGGGAGGCAUGGGGGGACUGAAGUUUCCAGUUGGCCAGUGAGCGAAGAAGGCGUUGGCUGUAGGCCACUAUGAUUUGCUAGGAGAAAUUUGAAUGGGUAUGCCAGGGCAAUUUUCACUUGCGAGCAAAUAACCAGGGCUCUAUCCGCUCCUGCAGAGAAGCGUUGGAGGUCUCUUUUCUUUCUUGAUUGUCCCUAGGAGCAAUCUACUGAUAUCCUUGCCCAGAAAAACAGAUGUUUUCCGAUUCAAAAUCAGAAAUUGAGUGCCUGCUGUCUACCCUACCUCGUGCCAACUCAAUGAAAGUAGAGAAGUAAAAUCUUACCGAUUUCAAACAUACGCAGUCUUAACUGAUUUCAUUAUGGAACCUCAUAGGAAUACAGAUUUAUUGUAGCAGCAUAAACUUUUCAAUAGGCUUCUGUGGGUGCGCGCUUUGUUCAAAAAGAGCCCUUGUGUGUAUGUGUGUAUAUAUACACGUUUACAAACACCAAUCACAGGAGGAAUGUAAAUAUUCCACUCAACACUUUACGAACAGACUAAGGUACUUUUAAAAAAUUACAAUGUUAGGCUGGGCACUGUGGCUCACGCCUGUAAUCCUAGCACUUUGGGACACCGAGUCGGGCAGAUCACCUGAGGUCAGGAGUUCUAGACCAGCCUGGCCAACAUGGCGAAACCCCGUCUUUACUAAAAAAUACAAAAAUUUGGCUGGGUGGGGUGGCUGACGCCUGUAAUCCCAGCACUUACUUUGGGCGCCGAGGUGGGUGGAUCACGAGGUCAGGAAUUCGAUACCAGCCUGGCCAAUAUGGUGAAACCCCGUCUCUACUAAAAAUACAAAAAUUAGCUGGGCGUGGUGGUGCACGUCUGUAGUCCCAGCUACUCGGGAGGCUGAGGCAGGAGAAUUGCUUGAACCCGGGAGGCAGAGGUUGCAGUGAGCCGAGAUUGUGCCACUGCACUCCAGCCUGGGCGACAGAGCAAGACUCAGUCUCAAAAAAAAAAAAAAAAAAUUGCUGAGCUUGAUAGUGCACACCUAUAAUCCCAGCCACCUGGGAGGCUGAGGCAGGAGAAUUGCUUGAGCCCAGGAGGCGGAGGUUGCAGUGAGCCGAGAUCGCGCUAUUGCACUCCAGCCUGGGCGACAAGUGCCAGACUGUCUCAAAAAAAAAAAAAAAAAAAAAUUACAAUGUUACAAUGUCUAUAGGGUAUUAACCAGUCAGAUGCAUCAAUUAUUUUUCUCUUAUUUUCUUUGACACAGAGUCUUAUUUUUUUUGACACAGAGUCUCGCUCUGUUGCCCAGGCUGGAGAGCAGUGGCACUAUCUCAGCUCACUGCAACCUCUGCCUCCCAGGUUCAAGUGAUUCUCCUGCCUCAGCCUUCCGAGUAGCUGGGACCACAGGCGCGAGCCAUCAUACCCAGCCAAUUUUUGUAUUUUUAGUAGAGACAGGGUUUUGCCAUGUUGGCCAGGCUGGUUUCAAACUCCUGACCUCAAGUGAUCCACCCACCUAGGCCUCCCAAAGUGCUGGGAUUAUGGGAGUGAGCAACCACGCCCAGCCUGUAUUUCACAAUCUCCAGUUUCUUUGAGGUCCACAGACCUUUUGCGGAAUAAUUCCUCCCUCAACAUUAGCUCAUAGCUUCUAUCUUCUUUUCUGCAUCUAACUCUCUUCAUUCAAGAUCCAGGCGGGACCGGGUGCGGUGGCUCACGGCUGUAAUCCCAACACUUUGGGACCCAAGGCUGAGGCAGUAGGGUCACUUGAGGUCAGGAGUUCGAGACCAGCCUGUCCAACAUGACAAAACCCCCUCUCUAGUAAAGAUACAAAAAUUAGCAGGGCGUGGUGGCAUGCACCUGUAAUCCCAGCUACUCGGGAGGCCGAGGCAGGAGAAUCGCUUGAACCCAGGAGGCAGAGAUUGCAGUGAGCCGAGAUCACACCAUUGCACUCCAGCCUGGGCACAGAGUGAGACUCCGUCUCAUAAAAACCAAAAAAAGAUCCAGGCAGAUGACCCACCCAACACCCUAAUGGCUCAGUUCCUUACCUCCUCCAUUAGUAUUUUCUUCUACCCUGUAUCACCAUCCAGUCUCCCAUCCUCCCCUCAUCACACUCACUCCUGAUUGUUAUUACCAGUAACUGCACUAUCUCUGAAAUCUUUAGUUCAAGCAUGCCUCUUACUGAUCAUCCCUUUUCUUUCUGACUCACAUAACAUAGUAACCUCAUGAUUCCUUUCAUUAUUUUUUUUUUUUUGAGACGGAGUCUCGCUCUGUCACCCAGGCUGCAGUGCAGUGGUGCAAUCUCGGCUCACUGCAACCUCCACCUCCCAGGUUCAAGCUAUUCUGCUGCCUCAGCCUCCCGAGUAGCUGGGACUACAGGCACGUGCCAUCACGCCCGGCUAAUUUUUUUAUUUUUAAUAGAGGCGGGGGUUUCACCAUAUUGGCCAGGCUGGUCUUGAAAUCCUGACCUCAGAUGAUCCACCCGCCUCAGCCUCCCAAAGUGCUAGGAUUACGGAUGUGAGCCACCAUGCCCUGCCCCUCUCCUCAUAUUUCUUUGAGAAUAUAACAGUCAUCGGAGAGGAACUUUCCAACCCAACUGGAAAAGCCAUGAGCCUACUUAAAUUUGCCUUGUCUUUUUAAAUCUUUUUCCCUGAUACCACGAAAAAUGUGUCUUUGCCCUUAUCAAAGGGCAAACCCAUGGCUGGUCUGAGUGCGGCGGUGUUUACAACUAAUUGAUCACAACCAGUUACAGAUUUAUUUGUUCCUUCUCCAUUCCCACUUGACUGGCACUAUUUAAAAAAAAAAAAAAAGCAAAUCCUCUUCUUGUGCUAUGGAUUCCAUCUACACAAGCCUUCACCAGAAUUUUUCUUUAGUCUAUCAAUUACUUCUAUUGAAUCAUCACCAUCCCGUUUCUUUUAUGCUAUCUCAUCUUUGCUCCUUUUUGUAACAAAACUUUUUUUUUUUUUUUUUUUGCGACAGAGUCUCACUCUGUCUCAAAAAAUCCUGGCUGGAGUGCAGUGGCAUCAGCUUGCCUCACUGCAACCUCCGCCUCCUGGGUUCAAGUGAUUCUCCUGCCUCAGCCUCCUGAAUAGAUGGGACCACAGGCACGUGCCACCAUGCCUGGCUAAUUUUUGUAUUUUUAGUAGAAAUAGGGUUUCAUCGUAUGGCCAGGCUGGUCUCAAACUCCUGACCUCAUGAUCCGCCUGCCUCAGCAUCCCAAAGUGCUGGGAUUACAGGCAUAAGCCACCACGCCUGGCUUUUUUUUUUUUUUUUUUUUUUGAGACGGAGCCUUGCUCUAUACCCCAGGCUGGAGUGCAGUGGCCGAUCUUGGCUCACUGCAACUUCUGCCUUUUGGGUUCAAGCGAUUCUCCUACUUCAGCCUCCUGAGUAGCUGGGAUUACAGGCAUGUGCCACCAUACCCAGCUAAUUUUUUUUUUGUAUUUUUAACAGAGACAGGGUUUUGCUAUGUUGGCCUGGCUGGUCUCAAACUCCUGGCCUCAAGUGAUCCACCCGCCUAAGCCUCCUGAAGUGCUAGGGUUAUGGGGGUGAGCCACCGCACCCGGCCAUGUUUGUAACAACACUUUUAAAACAAGUUGUCUACACUCACAGUCUCCAUUUCCUCACUUCUCUUUCCUCUUCAAUCCACCCCAGUCUGUCCACACUACUCCUCCUAAACUGUUGGGGAGGAUACCAAUGAUUUCCAUGUUGCCAAAUCCAGUAAACACUUAUCUAUAGUCAUCUUUUUUUUACCUGUUAGCAACAUUCAACAUAUAUAGUAAUCUGUCUUUUUUGAAGCACUUUUUCUUCACUGGCAUUCUGUGACACCACACUCAGGAUUUUUCUCUUCCUGCCUCACUGAUCAUCCCAUUUCCUCCUUGUAGGACCUCCAAACAUUGAAAUAUUUUAGGACUCAGUUCUCGCCGGGCGCAGUGGCUCACGCCUGUAAUCCCACUACUUUGGGAGGCCGAGGCAGGCGGAUCACGAGGUCAGGAGAUCGAGACCUUCCUGGCCAACACGGUGAAACCUCGUCUCUACUAAAAAUACAAAAACUUAGCCAGACGUGAUGGCGGGCGCUUGUAGUCCCAGGUACUUGGGAGGCUGAGGCAGAAGAAUGACGUG
RNAcentral lists this long non-coding RNA (4550 nucleotides) under Homo sapiens (human). Its description in RNAcentral is "HSALNT0291367". The stretch from base 1296 to 1443 matches the Rfam family "Metazoan signal recognition particle RNA". The record is from RNAcentral. Lineage: Eukaryota; Metazoa; Chordata; Mammalia; Primates; Hominidae.